Molecule: ribosomal RNA, 443 nt
Filed under: uncultured bacterium
Lineage: Bacteria
Description: partial 16S ribosomal RNA
Rfam family: Bacterial small subunit ribosomal RNA
Source: RNAcentral
CCUACGGGAGGCAGCAGUGGGGGAUAUUGGACAAUGGGGGGAACCCUGAUCCAGCGACGCCGCGUGAGUGAAGAAGUAUUUCGGUAUGUAAAGCUCUGUCAGCAGGGAAGAAAGAAAUGACGGUACCUGACCAAGAAGCCCCGGCUAACUACGUGCCAGCAGCCGCGGUAAUACGGAGGGGGCAAGCGUUAUCCGGAAUUACUGGGUGUAAAGGGAGCGUAGACGGUUAAGUAAGUCUGGAGUGAAAGGCCGGGGCCCAACCCCGGGACUGCUCUGGAAACUAUUGAACUUGAGUGCAGGAGAGGUAAGCGGAAGUCCUAGUGUAGCGGUGAAAUGCGUAGAUAUUAGGAGGAACACCAGUGGCGAAGGCGACUUACUGGACUGUAACUGACGUUGAGGCUCGAAAGCGUGGGGAGCAAACAGGAUUAGAUACCCCAGUAGUC